Non-coding RNA from Salmo salar (Atlantic salmon), 54 nucleotides. The record is from Rfam. NCBI's taxonomy places the organism in Eukaryota, Metazoa, Chordata, Actinopteri, Salmoniformes, Salmonidae.
UACAUUCACUACUGUAAGUCGCUCUGGAUAAGAGUGUCUGCUAAAUUACUAAAA